RNAcentral lists this ribosomal RNA (654 nucleotides) under uncultured bacterium. RNAcentral's name for it is "bacterial SSU rRNA". It matches the Rfam family "Bacterial small subunit ribosomal RNA", at positions 9 to 652 of the family's 1533-position model. The record is from RNAcentral.
GAGUUUGAUCCUGGCUCAGAUUGAACGCUGGCGGCAGGCCUAACACAUGCAAGUCUAGCGGUAACAGGGGAGAGCUUGCUCUCCUGCUGACGAGCGGCGGACGGGUGAGUAAUGCCUGGGAAUAUGCCCUAAUGUGGGGGAUAACCAUUGGAAACGAUGGCUAAUACCGCAUAAUCUCUACGGAGCAAAGGGGGGGACCUUCGGGCCUCUCGCAUUAGGAUUAGCCCAGGUGGGAUUAGCUAGUUGGUGAGGUAAGGGCUCACCAAGGCGACGAUCCCUAGCUGGUUUGAGAGGAUGAUCAGCCACACUGGAACUGAGACACGGUCCAGACUCCUACGGGAGGCAGCAGUGGGGAAUAUUGCACAAUGGGGGAAACCCUGAUGCAGCCAUGCCGCGUGUAUGAAGAAGGCCUUCGGGUUGUAAAGUACUUUCAGUUGUGAGGAAGGUGGUAGCGUUAAUAGCGUUAUCAUUUGACGUUAGCAACAGAAGAAGCACCGGCUAACUCCGUGCCAGCAGCCGCGGUAAUACGGAGGGUGCGAGCGUUAAUCGGAAUUACUGGGCGUAAAGCGCAUGUAGGCGGAUUAUUAAGCCAGAUGUGAUAGCCUUUGGCUUAUCCUGGGAAUUGCAUUUGAAACUGGUAAACUACAGUCUUGU